GUCCACGCCGUAAACGAUGGGUGCUAGGUGUGGGGGGUGUCGACUCCCUCCGUGCCGAAGCUAACGCAUUAAGCACCCCGCCUGGGGAGUACGGCCGCAAGGCUAAAACUCAAAGGAAUUGACGGGGGCCCGCACAAGCAGCGGAGCAUGUGGUUUAAUUCGACGCAACGCGAAGAACCUUACCAAGGCUUGACAUGGAUUUGAAAAACGUGGAAACACGUUCCCUCUUCGGAGCAAAUUCACAGGUGGUGCAUGGCUGUCGU
RNAcentral lists this ribosomal RNA (263 nucleotides) under uncultured bacterium. RNAcentral describes it as "partial 16S ribosomal RNA". It matches the Rfam family "Bacterial small subunit ribosomal RNA", at positions 793 to 1055 of the family's 1533-position model. The record is from RNAcentral.